UAAUACAGAGGGUGCGAGCGUUAAUCGGAAUUACUGGGCGUAAAGGGCGCGUAGGCGGUGCUAUGAGUGGCAUGUGAAAGCCCUGGGCUUAACCUAGGAAGGGCAUGUCAAACGAUAGGACUGGAGUACGGGAGAGGGUGGUGGAAUUUCCGGUGUAGCGGUGAAAUGCGUAGAGAUCGGAAGGAACGUCGAUGGCGAAAGCAGCCACCUGGCCUGAUACUGACGCUGAGGCGCGAGAGCAUGGGGAGCGAACAGGAUUAGAUACCCUGGUAGUCCAUGCUGUAAACGAUGAGGACUAGAUGUUGGUAGGGGAACCUAUUGGUAUCGAAGCUAACGCGAUAAGUCUUCCGCCUGGGAAGUACGGCCGCAAGGUUG
Molecule: ribosomal RNA, 375 nt
Filed under: uncultured bacterium
Lineage: Bacteria
Description: bacterial SSU rRNA
Rfam family: Bacterial small subunit ribosomal RNA
Source: RNAcentral